UGAAGUCAGUCGCGUUGUCCGGAACUCAGCCUUGCUUUUGCUUGGUGCACUUUCCGGAUGACGGGUCAGCAUCGAUUUUGACCGUCGGAAAAGGGCUGGAGUAAUGUGGCACCUCCGGGUGUGUUAUAGACUCUGGUCGCAUACGGCGGUUGGGAUCGAGGAACGCAGCGCGCCGCGAGGCAGGGGUUCGCCCACUUUCGCGCUUAGGAUGCUGGCAUAAUGGCUUUAAACGACCCGUCUUGAAACACGGACCAAGGAGUCUAACAUACUUGCGAGUGUUUGGGUGGAAAACCCGAGCGCGUAAUGAAAGUGAAAGUUGAGAUCCCUGUCGUGGGGAGCAUCGACGCCCGGACCAGACGUUCUCUGACGGAUCCGCGGUAGAGCAUGUAUGUUGGGACCCGAAAGAUGGUGAACUAUGCCUGAAUAGGGUGAAGCCAGAGGAAACUCUGGUGGAGGCUCGUAGCGAUUCUGACGUGCAAAUCGAUCGUCAAAUUUGGGUAUAGGGGCGAAAGACUAAUCGAACC
RNAcentral lists this ribosomal RNA (524 nucleotides) under Ganoderma australe. RNAcentral describes it as "partial large subunit ribosomal RNA". It matches the Rfam family "Eukaryotic large subunit ribosomal RNA", at positions 424 to 941 of the family's 3401-position model. The record is from RNAcentral. Lineage: Eukaryota; Fungi; Basidiomycota; Agaricomycetes; Polyporales; Polyporaceae.